AGUACAGCUGUUGUUUCCAUCACAAUAGAUAAAGAAAUCAUCACUGGUAAGCAUUCAAUUUAUUCAUGAUCAGUCCUUGACAUAACUAGAUUGUAAAGUGCUUUCUUUCCCUUCUAAAAGUUCUAAGAAAUCUCAAGAAUCUAAUUUUAGGAUUUAAGGAGGACCCUUUAAUUGCAAUAUAUUGUGGUCAAAUGCCUAAGUGUACUUCAGAUUGUUUCGAGUACUUCAAAAACUACAAUCCCCUUUUCCUGGCUGGGUGGCGAUUACUCAAAUGUGUCUGUUUAUCAAUUUGUACUUAACUUUUAAUGGAAAGGCAAGAAAUUAUUUUAAGGCUGCAGAAAUUUAACUCAGAAAAGAGAAAGUAGUAAUUAAAGUUGGACUUGUUGCAACUCUUUGGUCACAAAGUGAUUUCUCUAUCUCUCGGCAACAUUUUCUGAAGGAGGGGAACCUGAUAUUUGAAUACUUUGUUGCUUCCACGAUGGAGUAAGCAUCUACCGAUGAGCUAGUGGCCAAUUUGCAAUCAAGUUUGUGUAUUUUAUUAUGUGGUGUCUGGAUUCAAAAAUAGGAAUUAGAUUGUUGAUAAUUGACGUUAUACUAUUGGAGACUUUGUGAUGCAAAACAUGUAGGAGGGAUUGAAUAAAGCUCCAGUGUUGACAUAUUAUAGUGGUGGAAGGCUUAAGUGAUGCUCUGGUGAAUUUUCAAAAGCCAAAGGGUGAGGUAGCACGUUUUGGAUUAUGGCGUAGCCAUUGGAAUCAAUAAAGACAAUCAGGAUUUGGGGACUGGUAAAGAAUCUAUGGCUAUGAGGUAUGUGAACAGAUCACGUGAGAACCAACCUGGUGCUGUCAUUUAGCCCUUUGUGUAUUUGUGGGCAUCACUUCUUUGCCUUUUACCUUGUAUGUUGUCCCAUUCAGAUCAAAUUGCAAGGAGACAUGGCCAAGAGAAAAUCCACAAUGAUUUGAAUUUGAACAUUCCAAGUAAAUCAAACCUGUUAACAAUAAGAGCUAAUAAUGGAAAUACUUAAUUGAAACUUGGAGAAUUGAUUAUGUUGCAAAACUGAUAGCAUUAGUUUUAGGGUUUGUAAAACUCUUUAACAGAAUAAUGGUUUGCUCUCUCCUGACCUUCAUGUGUUGGUUGAAAAUAUUUAUCCCUUGAUUGUUGGGCAAACAUGUAUUCUGGAGGAUGGAGGGGGAGAUCUAUUUCAAAACUGUAUACUUUUUACCCUUAAUGUUUUUUGUUUACCUUAGAAGAGGACUAACCCUCUUUCUCUUUCUCUCUCGAACAGAACAGGAAAAAAUUCUUUGUUUUUUGUGUGUUUCUGUAAAAUCUUUUUUAAUUAACUUGAAGUAAACAGUUAUCCUUGCUUUGCUUCCUGAGAAGGUAAAAGAAGGUACCGAAGGGAAAUCUUGACAGUUCUAGUCAAAGUUCAAGCAUAUACUUAUAUAGGUUAUAGUUUCGACAGUGUAAUCAUAAUCUUCUUCUUCUUUUCUUCCCUCCUUUCUACCUACAUUUUUUGGGCUUUCCAGCAUACUCAACAGCCUGCUUUUCAUAUUUGGUCAUGUAUUUUCUCAAUAAAUUAAUAUCCAUUUUCCAUACAUUUGUGUACCUAGGUGGGCAUGUGGAUAAUAGUAUAAAGCUAGUGUCAUCAGAUGGAGCCAAAACCUUAGAAACAGCCAUUGGG
This 1678-nucleotide unclassified non-coding RNA is filed under the name Hevea brasiliensis (rubber tree). The record is from RNAcentral. Lineage: Eukaryota; Viridiplantae; Streptophyta; Magnoliopsida; Malpighiales; Euphorbiaceae.